GGCAGGUUGCCCGAGCGGCCAAUGGGAGCGGACUGUAAAUCCGUCGGCGUAAGCCUACCCAGGUUCGAAUCCUGGACCUGCCACCA
This 86-nucleotide transfer RNA is filed under the name Mycobacterium kyorinense. RNAcentral describes it as "tRNA-Tyr". It matches the Rfam family "tRNA". Rfam says of the family: Transfer RNA (tRNA) molecules are approximately 80 nucleotides in length. Their secondary structure includes four short double-helical elements and three loops (D, anti-codon, and T loops). Further hydrogen bonds mediate the characteristic L-shaped molecular structure. tRNAs have two regions of fundamental functional importance: the anti-codon, which is responsible for specific mRNA codon recognition, and the 3' end, to which the tRNAs corresponding amino acid is attached (by aminoacyl-tRNA synthetases). tRNAs cope with the degeneracy of the genetic code in two manners: having more than one tRNA (with a specific anti-codon) for a particular amino acid; and 'wobble' base-pairing, i.e. permitting non-standard base-pairing at the 3rd anti-codon position. Lineage: Bacteria; Bacillati; Actinomycetota; Actinomycetes; Mycobacteriales; Mycobacteriaceae. RNAcentral also lists the same sequence under 1 other name. The record is from RNAcentral.